UCGCCCGGCCGGCCCACCUGCCGCCCAGCCCACCCCGGCGCCCGUUGCGAAAAUGGGGGGCUCGGCCCACGCCAAUAUCCGUAGGAUCUCCCCGCGGGGCUUUAUCCUGGUAGAUUUACCAAAAGAGCGACGAACGGUUUAUUUCUCUGUGCAACUCCUUGAAGUGGUUUCCUUCUCCCUCGCCACCCAUAAGCGUGCUUAAUAUUGGGACUCGAUUGCCUGUGGGCUUACGACACUGACCAAAAUUCCAUGGAUGGGAAAGCAGGAGAAAAGGAGAAGGAAAAAAAGAAGCAAAGAGUAUCUGUGUUCAACUGAGGAGUGACAAAUAUAUUCUCCUGCCUGUUGCUGGUUCACGUGUUCUGAGAAGAAAUUGAAUGCACAGACAGAGCGCCAGUAUUUUCAGCAUGGAAACCACAAGUCUUGGAAAGAAAGUUUUCCACUGGUUGCUCCUCUCUUCUGCCAAUAUAUGCAUCAUCAUCUUUACUGCUUCUUUAGUGUAUCACAAAUAAGAUACCAUUUAGAUGGUGAGCAGUUAAUUUUGCUCAACAACAAAUGCAAGCUUUUCUUAUAUUCUGCAUCAGUUCUCAUGAAAGAGAGAAGGCAGAUGGGUGUGGAAACUGAAGCUCUCUACCUACAACAAAAUAACCACAAGUUGAGUUUACUCUCUGAGAUUGGAAGGACUGUCUACUGCUCAGAGGAGAUGAUACCACCCAUCACUGGCACAUACAGCUUCCACUCCUAAGAGGGAAAGAUAACAACCACUAAUGAUACAGACUAGUACGACAAAAUUGGUGAUUGAAUUUGUGCCUUGAAACUAGGCUACACCUUAGGAGUGAGUCUUCUCGUGGGGUUUCUCUGAGUGCAGAUAUAUAUCAUGCUCUUACUCAUGGCUCAGAACCAGAAUCAACUUUUUUGGUUUUUGUCCCUUUUGUCCAGGCAGAGCUGGCACACCAGGCUUGUCCGUGACAUUAACCCUCUAAGUCCUAUUUCAGGAAGAUUGCUGCACUGCAGCCUUCUGCAAAGGGGGAAAUGCAGGCCAGAGAGUCAGGAGACAAUAUUAUUAGCUUCAUGCAAAGCUGUUUAGGUGGGGAUUUUUGUAAGUACAGACUGGAUAACUUGGUGUGACAUGAGCAGAAUAUAACUUUUGAUGCAACAUCAGGAGAACUGUGAAGAGAAGGAAGGAAAACCUGUUUUAUCUUAAGUAGAGAGAUGACAGCAUAACAUCCCAAUGCAAUGACAGCAGAGGAAUGGUUUGCUGUUAAGUGAGAGUUUGUGCUGACAAACAGCUGGGCUGUAGGGCUGUGGGUGAUUAAGUAAUAAUGCAUGGUGAUAGGAUUGUAUAACGGAACAAAACAAAUGAAGCGCCGUGUACAAGAUGAAUACUGUGAGAAUAUAACAGGAAAGAAAGUAAUACCAGAUAUUGGGAAUCAAGUUAGCAGCCUUUUUCUAUAUUUAGAAUCCACUAAGAUGAGUAAGCACUGAAUUUGUGAUACAAAGUCCAUGAAAAGCCCAAAAGCCAGAACAGCAUAUAAGAAAGUCUGUGCUAUACUGUGCAAGGUUCAGUAAGUGCUUGGCUCUUCUCAGCUGGCUGUUUAAGUUAUGGUAACAUGCUGAAUGAGACUGGAUAAAGCUAUACAUUCAGUCACAGUAGGGCUGUGAACUAAUUCCAAGUGCAGUGUCACUCUCCUUGCAGUGUUGUGCACCCUGGUCUCUCUGUUCUUGUCAGAGGGUAGGCUCUCAGUCAACAUUUAGUCCAUACCCUGUGAGUUUUAGCUGCAUGUUGUGAGGAAACAUGCAAGCUUCCAAAUUAGUACAAGUGAGGGUCUGGCAGCUAGUCCAUCACUCGUUUCUAACACCUCAUUUUUGAAUCUAUUAUGAAGAAUUUCAAGAUAGGCAUCUGUGGUUUAGGCCUGUCUUUGGACAGGAAGAGAGGAACUGUAUGACCAUCUGAGCUCCCUGUCAGCUCUGUGGUCUGUCCCACCACCAUACUAGAUGCACUGCAGUUGGAAGGCACAGGGAUGUGAGGAAUCCUGCCUAGCUCUUCCUGAUUUCUUCUGCAGCAGACAACAAUCAAGCAGUAUUAUUAUUUGAAAGCAAACUCCACGUGUAUGUAGGUUUGGUGAGACUUCCUGCUGACACAAUAUUCAUUGCAAAGUAGCCUUCCAUUACAGUUUGGCACUGCAAAGUCCAAAUUAGAUAGUAUUGCAGUUCUCUUGAGAUGGCUGUGAAUGAGGGUUUGUACGAAGAUGACAUUUGCAAUAUAGUGUUAGCUUUGGCUACUUUGCCCCUCCUGCACUGAAUUCCAAACCAGAUACAAAUAUAGGAAGAGAUAUGAUUGCUGAAGAGAACUGGAAGGACUUUCCCGUGUAUGACUGUCAAUUCUGGGAACAGAAAACAGCAUGAGGGUUAAUUAUUUUUUCAGUGUUUUGAACUAAAGUUAUGCAUGGGUUUGGAGACUUUUUAACACUAGGAUGUUUUGUGUGCUGUUCAGUGUGAAUGAAUGCAAUUAAAUAGUCCACAAAAUUCAGCAAAAACUAAAAUUUAUUUUCACAUGGAGCCCCAAAGCCAAUGGUAUACUGUAAUUUUAAACACUGAGUAACUGUUAAUAUAUUAUAGUGACAACUAUCAGAAUAUCUACAAAGCUAAUGGAAAAAUAAGAGAAAGGUGACACUGUCAAAGUUUGCUUAUUUCUUGAAGUGGCUCAUUGUGGAUCAUUGCACGCAGUGCACAGAAAAAUGCAUAACAUAUUUGGCACGUUGGGUCACUUCCACACCCACACUCUUGCAAGAGCGUGUGGGAUUUGAAAGGAGGCUGGAGCCAGGUGAAAAAAGGCUGGGUAUUUUUGUGCUUUCAGUCGCAGUGUAGAUAGAGUGCUUUUUGUUAGUGUGGACAUCCACAGAAAAGGGAACCAGGCCAUAUAGGUAACUAAAAUCAGGGCAUUUCUUGACUUCUUAAGGCUUAAGAUUAAUACCUCAAAACUCUUUUGAUGUAAGGUUUUGGUGUGUUUUCUGUAUUAUAGCAUUCUAUUGCUGAACUGGUCCAGCAUGUCUCUACAAAAAGACAUGUGGAAACCAUCUUUAGAGACAAAACAGAAUCACAGAAUAUGCUGCAUUGGAAGGGACAAAGAUCAUGGAGUCCAACCCUUAACACUGUACAGAAUAGCAACACGCUGCACUGUGUCACUCUAACACUGCUUUCAACUAUUCGCUGUCAAUACAUUUGAAGUUCUGCCUUUAUCACUAAUUGUAGUACAAAAUUGUCUGGAACAUGACAGUUAACUAAAUUCUUUAUCUUUGUGCUGAUUAGCACAAAAGCAGAGCAAUAGCAAAGCCCUUAGUCAUGUAUUCUGUACCUCAGGACUUUUAAUUCACAAUAUUCAUAAUCCAUGUUGCAAAAUAUAACCCUCCAAAUUACAAUACUGCCAUAUUUUCUCAUGUAUUAUAAAAAAAAUCAUUAACAUUUAACUGUACAUAUGAGCAGUGUAUGAUAGGAAAGACAGUCAGAGCAGGUGACAAGUCUGUUCAGCUCAGUGCAAAGUUACUCAUUACUGUGGGAAGCUGUAUUCAAGCAGCCUGGCAUCAACAAAGCACCUGGUCUCAACUUUUCUGUUUUCCAGAAAUGCCUGACAGUGCUACCAGCCUGAACUUAGUUAUUUCCUGACUUUUGAAGGCUUGACUCAAUGACCUACCAUACUUUGUUUUUUAUAGCUAUGUGUGUAAUGUCAUGCCACUUCAAAAUGGUGCCUGAAG
This is a long non-coding RNA of Lepidothrix coronata (blue-crowned manakin), 3749 nucleotides long. RefSeq lists it as uncharacterized. The transcript is spliced from 5 exons. The record is from RefSeq and is a predicted model, not a curated record. Lineage: Eukaryota; Metazoa; Chordata; Aves; Passeriformes; Pipridae.